AACAAGGAUUCCCCUAGUAACGGCGAGUGAAGUGGGAAGAGCUCAACUUUGUAAUCUGGCUGUUUCACAGUCCGAGUUGUAGUCUAAAGAAGCAUGAUCCGCGCCGGCCCUUGGGCAUGUCUGUUGGAACGCAGUGUCAAAGAGGGUGAUAAUCCCGUACAUACCAAGGACGACCGUGUGCAUUGUGGUCUGCUCUCUAAGAGUCGAGUUGUUUGGGAAUGCAGCUCUAAUUGGGUGGUAAAUUCCAUCUAAAGCUAAAUAUCGACGAGAGACCGAUAGCGAACAAGUACAGUAAUGGAAAGAUGAAAAGUAGCCUGCAGAGGCAAUGAAACAAUACGUGAAACCGUUUGUAGGGAAGCGAUGGAACCUUUUCACGCUGCAGGGGCUCAGCCUUUCUUCGGAUUGGUGUAUUCCCCUGUUUUGCGGACCAGCAUCAGUUUGCUUGGCAGUAUAAGGGUGUUUGGAACGUGGCUCCCACGGGAGUGUUAUAGCCUUUCACUGGAUGCUGCCUCGCAGACUGAGGACUGCAGUGCGCCUUCAUGGCAUAGUCUUCGGGCUACGAGCACUUAGGAU
RNAcentral lists this ribosomal RNA (573 nucleotides) under Sterigmatomyces pulcherrimus. RNAcentral describes it as "eukaryotic LSU rRNA". It matches the Rfam family "Eukaryotic large subunit ribosomal RNA", at positions 67 to 624 of the family's 3401-position model. The record is from RNAcentral. Lineage: Eukaryota; Fungi; Basidiomycota; Agaricostilbomycetes; Agaricostilbales; Agaricostilbaceae.